ACGUAGGGUGCAAGCGUUAUCCGGAAUUAUUGGGCGUAAAGAGCUCGUAGGCGGUUUGUCGCGUCUGUCGUGAAAGUCCGGGGCUCAACUCCGGAUCUGCGGUGGGUACGGGCAGACUAGAGUGAUGUAGGGGAGACUGGAAUUCCUGGUGUGGCGGUGGAGUGGGCAUAUAUCAGGAGGAACACCGAAGGCGAAGGCAGGUCACUGGACAAUAACUGUCGCUGAGGAGCGAAAGCAUGUGGAACGAACAG
RNAcentral lists this ribosomal RNA (251 nucleotides) under uncultured prokaryote. RNAcentral describes it as "partial 16S rRNA". It matches the Rfam family "Bacterial small subunit ribosomal RNA", at positions 525 to 775 of the family's 1533-position model. The record is from RNAcentral.